UCGCAUCUCGAGCAUGUCUCAUAGGAGAGUGGAAUGAAGUCCAUUGUAGUGACAGUAGCAGAUGUGCCAUUGUUCUAUUGUGUAAUUCUAUUUGUUUUUGCUAUAUUCCUGUGUAAGGAAAUGUAUUUAGGAGAUGACUAAUUGUGUUAUGUAAACCUGGGAGAUAUAUUAUGUGAUGUUAUAUGAUGGAUGAUUUUAAUUCGACUUGGAG
RNAcentral lists this long non-coding RNA (211 nucleotides) under Hordeum vulgare. Its description in RNAcentral is "long non-coding RNA (HVUL_LNC011761)". Lineage: Eukaryota; Viridiplantae; Streptophyta; Magnoliopsida; Poales; Poaceae. The record is from RNAcentral.